Molecule: ribosomal RNA, 521 nt
Filed under: Lodderomyces parapsilosis
Lineage: Eukaryota; Fungi; Ascomycota; Pichiomycetes; Serinales; Debaryomycetaceae
Description: eukaryotic LSU rRNA
Rfam family: 5.8S ribosomal RNA (bases 181-334)
Source: RNAcentral
AACUGGACCGGGCUGGUAGGGUCAUUGCAGGAAAGGAAAAGGUGCUUAACUGCAUUUUUUCUUACACAUGUGUUUUUCUUUUUUUGAAAAAUUUGCUUUGGUAGGCCUUCUAUAUGGGGCCUGCCAGAGAUUAAACUCAACCAAAUUUUAUUUAAUGUCAACCGAUUAUUUAAUAGUCAAAACUUUCAACAACGGAUCUCUUGGUUCUCGCAUCGAUGAAGAACGCAGCGAAAUGCGAUAAGUAAUAUGAAUUGCAGAUAUUCGUGAAUCAUCGAAUCUUUGAACGCACAUUGCGCCCUUUGGUAUUCCAAAGGGCAUGCCUGUUUGAGCGUCAUUUCUCCCUCAAACCCUCGGGUUUGGUGUUGAGCGAUACGCUGGGUUUGCUUGAAAGAAAGGCGGAGUAUAAACUAAUGGAUAGGUUUUUUCCACUCAUUGGUACAAACUCCAAAACUUCUUCCAAAUUCGACCUCAAAUCAGGUAGGACUACCCGCUGAACUUAAGCAUAUCAAUAAGCGGAGGAA